UGGAGGUCGCCGAGGCGCCCGAAGAGAAUGUAGAUAUAGCGUUCAGGGCGAUCGGUGGAGGCGUGUCGCUCCUGCCGCCUGGCGCGAAGGCUAGCUCUGAUUAUCAUCCAGCGCGAGCGCUUGCAGUGUCCAAUCACUUCGGCUUGACGUUCUUCGCCGCACCAGCAGGUUUUGGAGUCGUGAGGACGGCGGACGUUCUGGAGCUCUCAAGCGGACCCAAGCCUGCUUCUGUGAGUGAGAAAUGCUUGGCGAGCGUGGAGCUGGAGAAAGUUUCGAUUUUGGAGCUUUCAAAGGAUGAGCUCACGCUUGCUGUGUGUGCCGGCUUCGCUGUUCGAUUCUAUCGAGUCCCUUCUCUGGCACUCAAGGCCGACACUAGACCGUUCGAGAUCCGCGACAUCGGCAACGAUGCGUUGAUCAAGGAUUUUCAG
Molecule: long non-coding RNA, 428 nt
Organism: Selaginella moellendorffii
Lineage: Eukaryota; Viridiplantae; Streptophyta; Lycopodiopsida; Selaginellales; Selaginellaceae
Exons: 3
Source: RefSeq, a predicted model, not a curated record